GACGAACGCUGGCGCGUGCCUAUACAUGCAAGUCGAACGCACGAAGUUGAAGAGCUUGCUCUUUACCAAGUGAGUGGCGGACGGGUGAGUAACACGUGGGUAACCUGCCCAUUAGAGGGGAUAACAUUCGGAAACGGAUGCUAAUACCGCAUAGUUUCAGGAAUCGCAUGAUUCUUGAAGGAAAAGGUGGCUUCGGCUACCACUAAUGGAUGGACCCGCGGCGUAUUAGCUAGUUGGUGAGGUAAUGGCUCACCAAGGCAAUGAUACGUAGCCGACCUGAGAGGGUGAUCGGCCACACUGGGACUGAGACACGGCCCAGACUCCUACGGGAGGCAGCAGUAGGGAAUCUUCCGCAAUGGACGAAAGUCUGACGGAGCAACGCCGCGUGAGUGAAGAAGGUUUUCGGAUCGUAAAACUCUGUUGUUAAAGAAGGACAAGGAUGAGAGUAACUGCUCAUCCCCUGACGGUAUUUAACCAGAAAGCCACGGCUAACUACGUGCCAGCAGCCGCGGUAAUACGUAGGUGGCAAGCGUUGUCCGGAUUUAUUGGGCGUAAAGCGAGCGCAGGCGGUUCUUUAAGUCUGAUGUGAAAGCCCCCGGCUCAACCGGGGAGGGUCAUUGGAAACUGGAGAACUUGAGCGCAGAAGAGGAGAGUGGAAUUCCACGUGUAGCGGUGAAAUGCGUAGAUAUGUGGAGGAACACCAGUGGCGAAGGCGACUCUCUGGUCUGUAACUGACGCUGAGGCUCGAAAGCGUGGGGAGCAAACAGG
This 768-nucleotide ribosomal RNA is filed under the name uncultured Vagococcus sp. RNAcentral describes it as "bacterial SSU rRNA". It matches the Rfam family "Bacterial small subunit ribosomal RNA", at positions 28 to 776 of the family's 1533-position model. Lineage: Bacteria; Bacillati; Bacillota; Bacilli; Lactobacillales; Enterococcaceae. The record is from RNAcentral.